UUGUGCGGCGAUGGUUCAUUCAAAUUUCUGCCCUAUCAACUUUCGAUGGUAGGAUAGUGGCCUACCAUGGUGCAACGGGUAACGGGGAAUUAGGGUUCUAUUCCGGAGAGGGAGCCUGAGAAACGGCUGCCACAUCCAAGGAAGGCAGCAGGCGCGCAAAUUACCCAAUCCCGACACGGGGAGGUAGUGACAAUAAAUACUGAUACAGGGGCUCUUUUGGGUCUGUGUAAUUGGAAUGAGUACAAUUUAAAUCCCUUAACGAGGAACAAUUGGAGGGCAAGUCUGGUGCCAGCAGCCGCGGUAAUUCCAGCUCCAAUAGCGUAUAUUAAAGUUGUUGCAGUUAAAAAGCUCGUAGUUGAACCUUGAGCCUGG
This 372-nucleotide ribosomal RNA is filed under the name uncultured fungus. Its description in RNAcentral is "SSU rRNA". It matches the Rfam family "Eukaryotic small subunit ribosomal RNA", at positions 280 to 650 of the family's 1831-position model. The record is from RNAcentral. Lineage: Eukaryota; Fungi.